ACCGACAGUUGGAGGCUUCUGGGAGCAGCUGGAAGAAGAUGAGGGUUCCUGGAGACAGGUGGAGGCUGCUAGAGUCAGCUGAGGGGAAGUGGGGGCAGCUGGGGUCAGUGGAGGCCAGUGGGGUCAUCUGUUGAUGCUAUCAGAGGAAAAUUCCUUACUGCUCCCAUCUUCAUCAUUGAUGAUAACCCAAUUUCUAAAGCUGUGAUACUUGGCCAGGUGCUGUGGUGAACAGGCUGUGUAUUCCAGGCAAUGUCGAUUUGAUCCAAGAAAACGCAGAAGCGUUGGUUCAGAGACAGCAGGAGUGACCAUUCCUGACCAAGGCGUUAUCUCCUCGGCGUACACUCACGGGGCCAGCUCUCUUCACUCACAGCCCAGAUCUUUUGUUAUAAGAUCUUGUUGUUUAACCACUUGGGAAUCUGAAGAAAUCGGAGGGCUUGCACUACCUUUCUGGGAUAAUCAUCUUUCUCUGAAGGUUUGAGUCCCACCCCAUUCUUCUGGCUCACCCUCGCUCUCCCAGUCUCUCUCUCUCUCUCUCUCUCUCUCUCUCUCUCUCUCUCUCUCUCUCUCUGCACAUCAGCUCACUGCAGUCCAGUGCAGCCCUGAGGUCUGCUUGGCCCCGGACCUGGUGUGCAGUUACUUCCUGCCCUCUCUCCCCUCAUGGUCAGGCUUCUGUCUCCAAAGGGAAGGAACCUAUCACACAAAGAGAAACAAUGUGCUGUCCAUUGUUGUUCAGCUUCCAUGUCCUAGUGUCUAACAUCUGAAGAUACCCUGCACAUUUACCUCAAUUUGUUGAAUUGUUUUUCCAAGCUGUGUGUUUUUUUUCAUCAGGUUUAAUCUCUCUGAUUUCUUCCUCAGGUCUCAUUGGCCCAACUGUUUUCACAGGUAUAUAAAUUAGAUCGUUAUUAAAAAGUUUAAC
This 916-nucleotide long non-coding RNA is filed under the name Mus musculus (house mouse). RNAcentral's name for it is "long non-coding RNA chr18:81995833-81996749". Lineage: Eukaryota; Metazoa; Chordata; Mammalia; Rodentia; Muridae. The record is from RNAcentral.